CAAUAGUCAAAAUCGGAAGAAGAAAACGAAGAAAAACCAAAGUUUUAUUUAGAAUUUACGAUCAUUUGUAUGUAAGUAUUAACGUUUUCUAACAUUGGAAUUAAAAUUUUAGAUAUCUUCAAAUUCAUCCAAACUUUAGUACACUUAUAGCUUGAAGAAAUUUACGGUACUCAACGAACACCAAUAUAAAUAUGAUAUAUGAGCAAAAAUUGAUAUUUCAAGUUCAUACUACGUAUUGGGUAUUCCCUAUUCCCUCUCUUUGAUGCGCCUGAAUCCCUCCAAUCCCAAGAACGAUGGCGAGGCAUUUCAUUGGCAGACGACAAUGCUAUAGCUUGAAUUUUUCUGUAUGAAAUGAGAUGGUUAACUGGUGAUGGUUGUAUGAUGAAAUACUCGAUGUUUCCUUCCCAUGUAUCUCACCAUUAAGGAAACCAGACCACAUGCGCACCUUUGUAAAGUUAGGUACCCUGUACCUUUUUGGGUUCAAAAUGGUUUUAAUGGUUUCCCUUAUCAUGACCUGCCAAGUUGGCUAAGAGUGGGAUAGCUUGUUUUUUAGCAUUUGUUAUUGGAGUCUUGCCUCAUGAGCUUCAAGAACCAAGUAAUCUCUUUCAGGCAAUGUCCAUUUCUUGCAAGAUUUCCGGGAUUAUCUUUACUGGGCCAACUCAACGUGUCGAAUGGCAAACAAAGUAGAACUUAUUGCACCUUGCCUUUAGCUCCAGACCUUAAUCCACUGGGUGUUUGUUUCAAGUAGAUCAGCUUCAUGGGAAGGCAAGUGAUUUGGACACACUUGUUCCAUUAAGUACCACAGAAAGAUAGAAAUACUACUUUAGGACUGUUCAUGAAGUGUGAUGGAUACAACAUGCGAGCAGAUCCAUAUUCCAUAGAGAUCCACCAUAUCAUCUAUUCUUGCCAUGAUGUACUCUUUGCUUGGUUUCAAUUUGCUGGUGGCUCUUGGCUACCCACAAAAUGCUCAAAUGACCUCGAAGCUCGUGGAAGCCAUCGUUUUCAGCAUCGUACCCAUGCUCAUUGAGUGGUCUAUUUUCUGCCUCACUCACUUUGUGAUAACCCUUUAACGGGGUUGCUCGUUUUAUUGAGACUGCAGUUGCCGACCCCUUUCGUUUUUGUCUUUUUUCUUUUCUCAGAAAGUGGUGUCAUCUAGAGUGUGGUUCUGUCCAAAUAAAACAGUUUCAUCUUUCAUCUUCCAUCUUCCCUUGCACUCAUCACAUGUCUCCUACAUGAUGUCAGUGACUUUAUAAGUACCCUUCUUUUUGUUCACUUAAACAAAAUAAACUCUCGCAAUUCGGAUCUGAAUGAACACAUAAUCCACAGAAUAUUUGCAUUUUAAUGAGUGGGGCUGUGUUAGAUUGGUGCCUUAAAUUGUGCAUGGUUAUCGCUUCUGGUGAUUUCCAUUCACAUUGUAAAGGCAACCUGUACCUUUCACACCAAAUUUUGUAGAUUGUUUGUCCAAAAGAAGGCAAUAACUGUAGCAUAUGAGGUUGCAGGAUUGAGGCAGGGACUUUAACCAAAUAUGGGGAAGAUUAAUGUGGUCUGGUCCAUCUCACAUGCCCUUAUUUUGGUGCAGGAAAGAAAGAAAAAAAACUUUCUCUAAGUUUUCGUUAUUGCCACUGGAUGACUUCAGGGCAUGGAGUGAUCAUUACAUUCCAGAAAAAUGCACAGAAACUGCAGGUGUUUCAGGCUUUACACAUUAAAUAUCCAGAUUUGUGAAAUUUAACAAGGUCCUUUUUAAUUAAUUUUUAUUUCCUCACAAGAAAUUACUGUAAAUGUUGGACUGUUGCUUGCAACUACCUGAAGAAUCAUCAGUGCAAGUACUGUAUGAUUCUUGCAGAAUCUUGAGUAUUGAUUUUGCAGAUCCAAAUUAUGGAUUGAUUUAUGAGUUCUGAGAAAUGUUUACAGCUAAUGUUAAACUAGUUGAGGUAGAUGCAACUGUGAGAACCUGAUGGAACAUAAUUACACACAGUACAGUACAUUUUACAU
Molecule: long non-coding RNA, 1992 nt
Organism: Sesamum indicum (sesame)
Lineage: Eukaryota; Viridiplantae; Streptophyta; Magnoliopsida; Lamiales; Pedaliaceae
Source: RefSeq, a predicted model, not a curated record